Molecule: ribosomal RNA, 2901 nt
Filed under: Escherichia coli
Lineage: Bacteria; Pseudomonadati; Pseudomonadota; Gammaproteobacteria; Enterobacterales; Enterobacteriaceae
Description: bacterial LSU rRNA
Rfam family: Bacterial large subunit ribosomal RNA
Source: RNAcentral
UUAAGCGACUAAGCGUACACGGUGGAUGCCCUGGCAGUCAGAGGCGAUGAAGGACGUGCUAAUCUGCGAUAAGCGUCGGUAAGGUGAUAUGAACCGUUAUAACCGGCGAUUUCCGAAUGGGGGAAACCCAGUGUGUUUCGACACACUAUCAUUAACUGAAUCCAUAGGUUAAUGAGGCGAACCGGGGGAACUGAAACAUCUAAGUACCCGAGGAAAAGAAAUCAACCGAGAUUCCCCCAGUAGCGGCGAGCGAACGGGGAGCAGCCCAGAGCCUGAAUCAGUGUGUGUGUUAGUGGAAGCGUCUGGAAAGGCGCGCGAUACAGGGUGACAGCCCCGUACACAAAAAUGCACAUAUUGUGAGCUCGAUGAGUAGGGCGGGACACGUGGUAUCCUGUCUGAAUAUGGGGGGACCAUCCUCCAAGGCUAAAUACUCCUGACUGACCGAUAGUGAACCAGUACCGUGAGGGAAAGGCGAAAAGAACCCCGGCGAGGGGAGUGAAAAAGAACCUGAAACCGUGUACGUACAAGCAGUGGGAGCCUCUUUUAUGGGGUGACUGCGUACCUUUUGUAUAAUGGGUCAGCGACUUAUAUUCUGUAGCAAGGUUAACCGAAUAGGGGAGCCGAAGGGAAACCGAGUCUUAACUGGGCGUUAAGUUGCAGGGUAUAGACCCGAAACCCGGUGAUCUAGCCAUGGGCAGGUUGAAGGUUGGGUAACACUAACUGGAGGACCGAACCGACUAAUGUUGAAAAAUUAGCGGAUGACUUGUGGCUGGGGGUGAAAGGCCAAUCAAACCGGGAGAUAGCUGGUUCUCCCCGAAAGCUAUUUAGGUAGCGCCUCGUGAAUUCAUCUCCGGGGGUAGAGCACUGUUUCGGCAAGGGGGUCAUCCCGACUUACCAACCCGAUGCAAACUGCGAAUACCGGAGAAUGUUAUCACGGGAGACACACGGCGGGUGCUAACGUCCGUCGUGAAGAGGGAAACAACCCAGACCGCCAGCUAAGGUCCCAAAGUCAUGGUUAAGUGGGAAACGAUGUGGGAAGGCCCAGACAGCCAGGAUGUUGGCUUAGAAGCAGCCAUCAUUUAAAGAAAGCGUAAUAGCUCACUGGUCGAGUCGGCCUGCGCGGAAGAUGUAACGGGGCUAAACCAUGCACCGAAGCUGCGGCAGCGACACUAUGUGUUGUUGGGUAGGGGAGCGUUCUGUAAGCCUGUGAAGGUGUGCUGUGAGGCAUGCUGGAGGUAUCAGAAGUGCGAAUGCUGACAUAAGUAACGAUAAAGCGGGUGAAAAGCCCGCUCGCCGGAAGACCAAGGGUUCCUGUCCAACGUUAAUCGGGGCAGGGUGAGUCGACCCCUAAGGCGAGGCCGAAAGGCGUAGUCGAUGGGAAACAGGUUAAUAUUCCUGUACUUGGUGUUACUGCGAAGGGGGGACGGAGAAGGCUAUGUUGGCCGGGCGACGGUUGUCCCGGUUUAAGCGUGUAGGCUGGUUUUCCAGGCAAAUCCGGAAAAUCAAGGCUGAGGCGUGAUGACGAGGCACUACGGUGCUGAAGCAACAAAUGCCCUGCUUCCAGGAAAAGCCUCUAAGCAUCAGGUAACAUCAAAUCGUACCCCAAACCGACACAGGUGGUCAGGUAGAGAAUACCAAGGCGCUUGAGAGAACUCGGGUGAAGGAACUAGGCAAAAUGGUGCCGUAACUUCGGGAGAAGGCACGCUGAUAUGUAGGUGAAGCGACUUGCUCGUGGAGCUGAAAUCAGUCGAAGAUACCAGCUGGCUGCAACUGUUUAUUAAAAACACAGCACUGUGCAAACACGAAAGUGGACGUAUACGGUGUGACGCCUGCCCGGUGCCGGAAGGUUAAUUGAUGGGGUUAGCGCAAGCGAAGCUCUUGAUCGAAGCCCCGGUAAACGGCGGCCGUAACUAUAACGGUCCUAAGGUAGCGAAAUUCCUUGUCGGGUAAGUUCCGACCUGCACGAAUGGCGUAAUGAUGGCCAGGCUGUCUCCACCCGAGACUCAGUGAAAUUGAACUCGCUGUGAAGAUGCAGUGUACCCGCGGCAAGACGGAAAGACCCCGUGAACCUUUACUAUAGCUUGACACUGAACAUUGAGCCUUGAUGUGUAGGAUAGGUGGGAGGCUUUGAAGUGUGGACGCCAGUCUGCAUGGAGCCGACCUUGAAAUACCACCCUUUAAUGUUUGAUGUUCUAACGUUGACCCGUGAUCCGGGUUGCGGACAGUGUCUGGUGGGUAGUUUGACUGGGGCGGUCUCCUCCUAAAGAGUAACGGAGGAGCACGAAGGUUGGCUAAUCCUGGUCGGACAUCAGGAGGUUAGUGCAAUGGCAUAAGCCAGCUUGACUGCGAGCGUGACGGCGCGAGCAGGUGCGAAAGCAGGUCAUAGUGAUCCGGUGGUUCUGAAUGGAAGGGCCAUCGCUCAACGGAUAAAAGGUACUCCGGGGAUAACAGGCUGAUACCGCCCAAGAGUUCAUAUCGACGGCGGUGUUUGGCACCUCGAUGUCGGCUCAUCACAUCCUGGGGCUGAAGUAGGUCCCAAGGGUAUGGCUGUUCGCCAUUUAAAGUGGUACGCGAGCUGGGUUUAGAACGUCGUGAGACAGUUCGGUCCCUAUCUGCCGUGGGCGCUGGAGAACUGAGGGGGGCUGCUCCUAGUACGAGAGGACCGGAGUGGACGCAUCACUGGUGUUCGGGUUGUCAUGCCAAUGGCACUGCCCGGUAGCUAAAUGCGGAAGAGAUAAGUGCUGAAAGCAUCUAAGCACGAAACUUGCCCCGAGAUGAGUUCUCCCUGACCCUUUAAGGGUCCUGAAGGAACGUUGAAGACGACGACGUUGAUAGGCCGGGUGUGUAAGCGCAGCGAUGCGUUGAGCUAACCGGUACUAAUGAACCGUGAGGCUUAACCUU